AUUGAACGCUGGCGGAAUGCUUUACACAUGCAAGUCGAACGGUAGAGGGGGCAACCCCUUGAGAGUGGCGAACGGGUGAGUAAUAUAUCGGAACGUGCCCAGUCGUGGGGAUAACGUAGCGAAAGUUACGCUAAUACCGCAUACGAUCUACGGAUGAAAGCGGGGGACUCGCAAGAGCCUCGCGCGAUUGGAGCGGCCGAUAUCAGAUUAGGUAGUUGGUGGGGUAAAGGCUCACCAAGCCAACGAUCUGUAGCUGGUCUGAGAGGACGACCAGCCACACUGGAACUGAGACACGGUCCAGACUCCUACGGGAGGCAGCAGUGGGGAAUUUUGGACAAUGGACGCAAGUCUGAUCCAGCCAUUCCGCGUGCAGGAUGAAGGCCCUCGGGUUGUAAACUGCUUUUUGUACGGAACGAAAAGGUUUCUAUUAAUACUAGGAGCUCAUGACGGUACCGUAAGAAUAAGCACCGGCUAACUACGUGCCAGCAGCCGCGGUAAAGUG
This 502-nucleotide ribosomal RNA is filed under the name uncultured bacterium. RNAcentral describes it as "bacterial SSU rRNA". It matches the Rfam family "Bacterial small subunit ribosomal RNA", at positions 30 to 527 of the family's 1533-position model. The record is from RNAcentral.